RNAcentral lists this ribosomal RNA (631 nucleotides) under uncultured phototrophic eukaryote. RNAcentral's name for it is "bacterial SSU rRNA". It matches the Rfam family "Bacterial small subunit ribosomal RNA", at positions 157 to 795 of the family's 1533-position model. The record is from RNAcentral.
CAUUCGCUAAAACCCCAUAUGCCCCUGGGUGAAACAGAAGAGAUAAGUAAUACUGAAUCCCUUCUGCCUGAAGAGAAGCUCGCGGCUGAUUAGCUAGUUGGUAGGGUAAAGGCCUACCAAGGCGACGAUCAGUAGCUGGUCUGAGAGGACGAUCAGCCACACUGGAACUGAGACACGGUCCAGACUCCUACGGGAGGCAGCAGUGAGGAAUUUUCUGCAAUGGGCGCAAGCCUGACAGAGCAAUACCGCGUGAGGGAUGAAGACUUACUGAGUUGUAAACCUCGGUGCCUUAAGGAAGAAGAUCUGACGGUACUUAAGGUGGAAAGCAUCGGCUAACUCCGUGCCAGCAGCCGCGGUAAGACGGGGGAUGCAAGUGUUAUCCGGAUUUACUGGGCGUAAAGCGUCUGCAGGUGGUUUUUUAAGUCUACUGUUAAAUCUUGAGGCUCAACCUCAAAUCUGCAGUAGAAACUAGAAGACUUGAGUAUAGUAGGGGUAGAGGGAAUUUCCAGUGGAGCGGUGAAAUGCGUAGAUAUUGGAAAGAACACCGAUGGCGAAGGCACUCUACUGGGCUAUUACUGACAUUCAGAGACGAAAGCUAGGGGAGCAAAUGGGAUUAGAUACCCCAGUAGUC